AUGCUGCCGCUGCGGCGCCUCCUCGCCGCCUCCCUCCGCUAUGCUCGCCGCCACCCCGGCCUCCGGCCCCGCCGCCUCCUCUCGUCCGGCCCCGCCCCGCCCGCCUCCCCUUCUCCGCCUUCCACCUCGUCGACCCUCCCCGUCGCGGCGCCUCCCCCGCCGCGGCACCAUCUCGCGCCCCUCCGCGGCCCCCGCCGCAUCUCCCCGCUGCUCGCCAUCUCCGCGCUCUCCGUCGCCACCGCCGCCGGGACGCUCUACGCCACCACCGACAACAUCGAGGAGACCCUAGCGAGGACCAGGGCGUCCGCCGCGCGCGUGGCGGAGCAGAUGCGGCACACGUGGACGGCGGGCGGGGUGCUCUGCAAGUCGCUCAUGUCCGUCCUGUCGUCCGCCAACCACGAGGUGCGGUCCGGGUUCGAGAUGCGGGUCGCCGCGCUGCUAGCCGACAUCACCGCUGCCAGCGCCGCUCGGCGUGCGGCCAUCGUGUCCGCGGGCGGCGGCGCCGUGGUUGACUGGCUGCUCGACAGCAUCGUGCGGGGCGCCACGCAGGCGGAGGCGGCGCGGGCGCUCGCGAACCUGCUGGCCGACCCGUGGGUUGCGCCUGCUGUGCUCGGCCGGCCACGAGCGGUGCCCUCCCUCCUUCAGUUUAUCUUCUCCUACCAGCCCAAGCGCGGCAAGAAGAACUCCAGACACUCUUCGUUCGAUGUAUCAGAUCACUCUAAAGGAAGGAGCAUGCUUGUCGCUGCACUCAUGGAUAUAAUCACAUCCAACUGUGAUAAUGCAGAUUAUUCGGCCUUUCGGCCUUUGUUGCCUGCAGAUGCUGAUAUAAGAGAUAUUGCAGCAGCUAUCGAAGUCAUUGAGGAAGGGGGGAUGCAUUUUGAUGACCAUGAGGAUGAUAGCAGUGAUGAUGGUGACAGGGGAUUAAAAGGGAUAGGGAUUAAGGUACUUGGGGGGACCACUAUAUUGGGAUUCUCUAGAGAAAAUAACUCACUAAAGAUUGGCAACUCAGGUGAUGAUGUUCUGGAAGUUGCACAAAAUAGUAGAAUGGAAGUUGCCCAGAAUAGUAGUGGACUGGUAAACCAAGAGCCUACUGUUGAUUAUGUAGACAUCGAGAGACUAAGUUCCCAUGCUACUCCAGGCCUAUGGGAUGAUUUACAGAGGGAGCAUGUAGCUGUACCCUUUGCUACCUGGGCUCUUGCUAAUUGGGCUAUAGCAUCGGAUCUGAACCGCACUCGUAUUCAAGAACUUGAUAGCGACGGGCAUGCUGUGACAACUGCACUGAAAGCUCCUGAAAGAACUGUGAAGUGGCAUGGAGCCUUGGUGGCCCGGGCUCUUUUGGAAGACCAGAACUUGACUUUGGCUCCUUCUGUCCCUGAUUGGUCCUCAAGUCUUCUUUUAACAGCUUCUCAGGCUACUGAGAAUGGCGACAUGUCGUUGGCCCAAAUGUCACUGUCAACUUUCCUGUUAUCCAUGAUACGAUGCAAUGAGUCGAAGUUUGUGAUAAGGCAGAAGGGUCUUCAUCUUCUUCGUAGUGUUGCAAAAAAAAUAGAAAAGGAAAAUAGUCAGAGUGGUAUGAAGGAGUCAUUAGUGGUUGCCCUGAGUUCGCUCUAUUCUGGUGAAGUUCCUUUGUCACUUGAAGAAGCUCAAAGAUGGUCUGGCAUUCUCCUUCGUUGGCUCUUUGACAAAUCUGUAUCAGGCACAACACAUCAUACAUCUGUAAAAAUCCUUUCAUCUAUACUUGAGGAUUACGGACCAUCCUCCGUACCGAUUUCUCAGGGAUGGUUAGCUCUCGUGCUUUCUGAAAUUCUUGGAGACAACAAGACACAAAGUUUGAAAGGAGCCACCCCGCCUGAACCAGAACGAGUGAAGAAUCAAGUUGAUUACCAUAAUGCUUACACUGCCACACAGGUCUUGAAUCAGUUAGCUACAGCUGUUGUCAAAUUAGCAAGCAUUCAGUCGGACUAUGGUUCUGAGUCUGGUGACAAAGUACCACUUUACGAUUUUCUUUCUCUUGAACCAUUUGCUACAGCUGUAAAGAACUUGAACAAAAAGAGCCCACCCAAGUUUGAUGCUGUUGACUCAGCCUUAGCUACGCUUAAGGGAAUAAAAGCACUAGCGGAGCUUUGUUCUGAGGAUGUCACGUGCCAAAAGAGAAUAGCUGAUUUAGGAGUUGUUUCGUUAUUGAAACACAUCCUCGUCGGUGACGAUUAUGAGAAACUUGCUGCAAUUGAAGCAUAUGAUGCAUCAAGAAUACGAGAAGUGCAAGACAAGAAUGUGUCUGCUUCCGAUGAUUCUUCUACUGCUGCUACCACUGAUCCCCGUAGUGUACGUGUUCCUCCAGCAGCACAUAUUCGAAGGCAUGCCGGGCGGCUGCUUACCAUUCUCUCCCUUCUACCCAACUCAAAGAAGGAAAUUGUUUCUGAUGAUGUAUGGUGCAAGUGGCUUGAGGAAUGCGCAACUGGACGAAUUCCUUGCAAUGAUAUAAAGUUAAAAAGUUACUGCAGACUAACUCUGUUAAAUGUAUUCUGCUCUGAGAGUCAAAAUACAAGAAGUGUUUCUGGUGAAUAUCCUGACUCAGAAUGUGAGUAUAAAAGAAAGUGUCCUCAGUUUGGAGAUGCGCUGUUCUUGCUGAAUCCAGAAUUACCUCUUGAGGUUCAUUUGGGCAACAGCGGCUGUGGGACUUCAAGAGAUACUUGUAAGGAUGAUGGAUGCAUUGAACAUAGUGGCUCUAAAACUAGAAGCGUAGAAGGUUCAGGUGCUGCAUCAAGACGUGUCUCCCCUGAAGUUGAUGUCGUGUUUGUCCAUGGCCUUCGGGGUGGCCCAUUCAACUCAUGGCGGAUAGCUGAUGACAAGUCAUCAACUACUAAAGCUGGUCUGGUGGAAAGUAUAGAUGAAGAUGCUGGAAAAGAAGGUACUUGUUGGCCAAGACAAUGGCUUUCAUCAGAUUUUCCUCAAGCUCGUUUCUUCACGGUCAAAUACAAGACAAAUUUGACACAAUGGACUGGAGCCAGCCUGUCCCUUCAGGAGGUGAGCUCUAUGCUGCUGAGGAAGCUGGUGGCUGCUGGGAUCGGUAGCCGACCUGUUGUGUUUGUGACUCAUAGCAUGGGUGGACUGGUGGUUAAGCAGAUAUUGCAUCAAGCGAAACUGAACAAUUACGACAAGUUCCUGAAUAAUACAAUUGGACUAGUCUUUUAUAGCUGUCCGCAUUUUGGCAGUAAACUUGCAGACAUGCCAUGGCGUAUGGGUUAUGUGUUUCGUCCAGCUCCUUCAAUUGGCGAAUUAAGAAGUGGGUCUCCAAGACUUGUCGAGUUAAAUGAUUUUGUGCGGCAGCGCUACAGCAAAGGACUUCUCGAUGUUCUUAGUUUUAGUGAGAGCGAAGUCACACCAAUUGUGGAAGGUUAUGGUGGUUGGGCAUUCCGAGCGGAGAUAGUCCCGAUCGAAUCUGCAUACCCAGGAUACGGGGAGCUUGUCGUUCUACAGAACACUGACCAUAUAAACUCGUGUAAACCGGUGAACAAGAAUGACCCUUCAUACGCCGAGACUCUGGCAUUUUUGGAGAAAAGCCUGAAAUCACGGGGCAAAAGAGCAGAAGCCUAG
RNAcentral lists this ribosomal RNA (3597 nucleotides) under Triticum aestivum (bread wheat). RNAcentral describes it as "partial small subunit ribosomal RNA". Lineage: Eukaryota; Viridiplantae; Streptophyta; Magnoliopsida; Poales; Poaceae. The record is from RNAcentral.